This 570-nucleotide long non-coding RNA is filed under the name Homo sapiens (human). RNAcentral describes it as "lncRNA activating regulator of DKK1". The record is from RNAcentral. Lineage: Eukaryota; Metazoa; Chordata; Mammalia; Primates; Hominidae.
UGAGCUGAAAUAUGAGUUGUCCAACUCUUGUAAGUGCAUGCUCCAUCACAUCAUCCUGAGUCAGUAAUGAGGAUGCCAUUGUACCCUUCAAGCAGCCCUGGAGAGUUUAUCUCUGCAUGCUGGAGCUAAUAAUAAUAGAAUCUCAAGAGCCUUCAAACAUCCAUAUUAUGCUGAUGUCUUUUAAGGUGAUUCAACUCAGCAUAUGUUGUUUGAAGCCGUGAGACUGAGUGAGAUCAUGGAGGAAGUGAAUGUAAAUAGAAAAGGGAAGAAGUCUGAAGACGGAGCCCUGAGACACUCCAUUGUAAACUGGAAGAUGAGGAAGAGCCAGCAAAGGAGACUGAGAAGGGGCAGCCAGUGAAGAUGGAGCCAGGGCUAGAGUAAGAGCCCCUUCUGGGAUGCUGUGACCCCCAAGUUUGAAGACUGCUGAUAACCCCAAUCUACGAAGACUAGCUAUGGAACUUCCUACACUGAGACAACUCCAGUGGAACUCUGAUAAUUAUCCUAAAAUAAGGAGGCUUCUUCAGUAGCCCUCGAAAUAUGUUCAAAUACAUGAUUACAUUUAUGUCCUUA